Molecule: ribosomal RNA, 502 nt
Filed under: uncultured bacterium
Lineage: Bacteria
Description: partial 16S ribosomal RNA
Rfam family: Bacterial small subunit ribosomal RNA
Source: RNAcentral
GACGAACGCUGGCGGCGUGCCUAAUACAUGCAAGUCGAACGAACCGCGACUAGGUGCUUGCACUUGGUCAAGGUGAGUGGCGAACGGGUGAGUAACACGUGGGUAACCUACCUCAUAGUGGGGGAUAACAGUCGGAAACGACUGCUAAUACCGCAUAGGACAUAGGAUCACAUGAUCCAGUGAGGAAAGGUGGCGCAAGCUAUCGCUAAGAGAUGGACCCGCGGUGCAUUAGCUAGUUGGUAGGGUAAAGGCCUACCAAGGCGAUGAUGCAUAGCCGACCUGAGAGGGUGAUCGGCCACAUUGGGACUGAGACACGGCCCAAACUCCUACGGGAGGCAGCAGUAGGGAAUCUUCCGCAAUGGACGCAAGUCUGACGGAGCAACGCCGCGUGAGUGAAGAAGGUCUUCGGAUCGUAAAGCUCUGUUGUUAGAGAAGAACAGCGCAUAGAGUAACUGUUAUGCGUGCGACAGUAUCUAACCAGAAAGCCACGGCUAACUACGUG